GACGAACGCUGGCGGCGUGCUUAACACAUGCAAGUCGAACGGAAAGGCCCUGCUUGCAGGGUACUCGAGUGGCGAACGGGUGAGUAACACGUUGGUGAUCUGCCCUGCACUUCGGGAUAAGCCUGGGAAACUGGGUCUAAUACCGGACAGGAGCCAUUUUUAGUGUGGUGGUUGGAAAGUUUUUUCGGUGUAGGAUGAGCUUGCGGCCUAUCAGCUUGUUGGUGGGGUAAUGGCCUACCAAGGCGGCGACGGGUAGCUGGAGCGGGAGGGUGGACAGACACACCGGGACUGAGAGAGGGCCACGACUCGGAAGGCUGGCAGAAGGGGCGAAUGCUGAACAAGGGGAGUCAGCGUGAUGCAGAAACGCCGCGGGGGGGAUAACGGCCUUUGGGUUGGAAUUUCAUAUCGCUAGGAACCAAGGUUUUUGUGACGGUACCUAGAGAAGAAGCACCGGCUAACUACGUG
Molecule: ribosomal RNA, 465 nt
Filed under: uncultured bacterium
Lineage: Bacteria
Description: partial 16S ribosomal RNA
Rfam family: Bacterial small subunit ribosomal RNA
Source: RNAcentral